Lolium perenne is the source of this 292-nucleotide non-coding RNA. The record is from RefSeq and is a predicted model, not a curated record. NCBI's taxonomy places the organism in Eukaryota, Viridiplantae, Streptophyta, Magnoliopsida, Poales, Poaceae.
GACGAAGCCGAGGCAGCAGCGACUAGUUGUUGCUGCUGCUGCUGCUGUUGCUCUUGAUGCAAUAUCGAUGCCAUUUCAAAAGCAGCACUGACUGGGUAAUCAGACCGGGUGAUGAGCCUUGCUCCAAUUAUUUGUAUCGUUUUUCUGUUUAUCCCAACAUGACCGUGAAGCAAUGACUAAAGACUAUGACUCAUUUUUGUUCCUCAUGUACAACAUGUAUGACCUGCAUUCAUAGGCCUGUGUUGUUGUGUGGUUCAGAUUUUAGUGCCAGCAUGGCGCUUGUGUCUCGUAU